This 8904-nucleotide unclassified non-coding RNA is filed under the name Drosophila mojavensis. RNAcentral's name for it is "GI23883". The record is from RNAcentral. Lineage: Eukaryota; Metazoa; Arthropoda; Insecta; Diptera; Drosophilidae.
UAAAAAUUCCCAAAACCAAAACAAAACCAACAAGAAAUUCUACAAAGUCGUAAAGUAAUUCAUUUAUUAUAGCAGCGAUUUGCUAACUAAAUUAGUGCAACUAAUAUUUAGUUUUUAUGUGCGAAACCAACAAAACAAGCGCAUAAUAACAUAAAGAACCAGUUCGGGAACCAGUGCCAGCAGAACGCCAUGGACGAAAUGCCAGAUUUAUCGCAUUUGACGCCGCACGAGCGCAUGCAAAUUGAAAAUGUGCUCAUGCGGCAGAAGCAGGAGGAGGAGAAGCAAAAUGAGAUAAUGCGACGCAAACAGGACGAAGUCGUUACGCUGGAGAUGCAAAUCAGACAGCGAUCCGAGCAGCAAAAGAAGGCCGGCGUCGAGCUGGAUGCCACCUGUCACAUAUGCCUUAAGACCAAGUUUGCCGAUGGCGUUGGCCACAUUUGCCAUUAUUGCAACAUACGCUGCUGCGCCCGCUGCGGCGGCAAAGUAACCCUGCGCAGCAACAAGGUGAUCUGGGUGUGUAUCCUGUGCCGCAAGAAGCAGGAGCUGCUCUCCAAAACGGGCCAGUGGAUAAACAAGACGGCGGUGCAGCAAGAUGGUUUCAUACGGCGCAUCGAACCCGACGGCAGCAGCGACAUCUCGCAGCAGGCCAUUGUCGAUCCACGCGAUUCGGCGGACAAGCGACCGAAGCUGGAGCGCACGCGCAGCGCUGCCGAGAAGGAGAACCUGCCCAUGCAGCGGGCUGGCAGCAUGCUGCGUCGCCAAUAUUCGCAGCAGGAGCAGCCAACGAAUCGUCGCCUGUCCGUCUCCGACAGCGGCAUGGAGCCGCUGAGUCCUGGGCAGCAGCAGAUGCAGCAGCAGCAGCUGCCGCAGCGCCAGCGCAUGCAGCCCAUGAAUCCGCAGCAGGCGCAGCAAUAUCAACUCCAGCAGCAACAACUACAGCAGCAGCAGCAACAACAACUGGGCUACGGACAGCAGCAGCAUCCACAGAGAUCGGGCGCCUAUCCAGAGGAUGAUCCGCGUUACUAUCAGGGCGAGCUGGAUGGUCUGAUGCGACAACAUCCUCACCUGGCACAUCCCAGCCAGGUGCAGCAGCAGCCACAGCAGCAACAGCAACAGCAGCCGCAACAGCAACAACCACAGCAACAUUUAAUACCGCAGCAGCAGCGAUUCAAUGCACGCCAGCAACAUAUGCAACAGCAGCAGCAGCAGCAGCAUCAGCAGCAGCAACAGCAACAGCAGCCACAGCAGCAGCAACAGCAGCGAAUGCUACAACAGCAGCAACCGUAUCAAGGAUCCUCGACACAUGCGCAGAUUCAUUCGCAGCCAGCGCAACUGGGUGGGGGCAGUGGCUACCAGAAGGCGCCACCGCUGACGCGCAACCUGACGAUCAGUGGGGGCCACGCCAUGGAUGCCACCACCUACAAUCAGCAGCAGCAGCAGCAACAGCAGCGGCGCUCCUUGGCUGGCGCACAGUACGCCUCACAGCAGCAGCGAUCCUUCAGUAGCUCCGAGGAGGAGUUCCAGAGCCAUCUAAUGGCCGCGCAGGCGCAGGCGCAAGUGCAAGGACAUACCGUUACAGCUGGCAGCGACUACGAUGCAGGUAAUUUUGGCGUCGUGCAAAGUGUCCAAACAAAUCUCUCGCCCGGCGAUCUACAGAUUCAUGCAAAUAAUCCGGUGAAUUGGCAAACAUCCGCGGAUAAUACUCGCAUGAUUGGUCACAUGAUAUUACGUAAAUACUAUGAUGGGGAAGAUAUAUUAGGCUUAAAGGUGAACGGCGGCCAGCCCGUGGGUCUCGGAGGCCCAUGCAGAGCCAUUGUGGAGAAGGUGAAACGCGGUUCGGUGGCCGACGUCGAAGGCUGUAUACGACCAGGCGACGAGAUCAUCGAGUGGAACGGACGCAGCCUGCACAACAAGAGCGCGGACGAGGUCUACGACAUCAUCGACGAGAGUCGUCUGGAUGCACAGGUGGAAUUGAUUGUGGGUCGAUCGCUGCUGCUGCCAUCCAGUGGCGCCGGCAGCGUCGACAGCGGCAGCAGCAGCAACGUCAGCCCCAGCAGCGCAUGCUCUGGCUCGGGCAGCAGCGUCACCCGGCGCUCCUCGGCCAACUUUCCGCACAGUGGGCUGGCGAGCAGCAUGGCAGCCAGCGCAGUGGUCAGCAGCGGAGGGCGUUACCUGCAGCGUAAAGCACCCGGCGUUGAGGCUCUAGAGCUGCACCGCGAUAAGCCGAGCGUGCUGAUCACCUCGCCCGGCUCUCCGGAUCUCCACACCGGCGGCUCGAACAACGGACUGCGUCAUCGUGGCGCUGGCAUUGGCAGCUGCUCGCAGCAGUCGCAGCGCUUGGAGGCCAGCAGCCAUAACCACAGCCACAGCCAUAGCCAUAGCCACAGCUACAGCAGCCACAGCCACAGCAGCAGCGGCAGCGGCAGUAACAGCGGCAGCAGCAGCAACAGCAGCGCCACCGUCGCCGCCUCGGGCGGCGUGCACAGCGCAACGACGGCGGGCCACCAUCAUCAUUGUCACCCAACAGCGGCAUCACCGCCAUCGCACGCGCACGCGCUUCCGCAUCCGCAUCCCCACCCGCACUCGCACUCGCACUCACACGCCCACGCCCACUCGCACCAUGGGCAUGGCAUGGGCGUGACAACACAGCCGAUUCCCAUCGAGGGCCGGCUGCAGCUGAAGCUCGGCUACGAUCAGACCACUCUGCAGCUGAUCGUGACGCUGGUUUGCGCCACGGGCCUGUCGCUGCGUCAAAGCGGCGCCGGGCGCAAUCCCUAUGCGAAGGUGUUCCUGCUGCCCGAUCGCAGCCAGAAGUCCAAACGACGCACGAAAACCGUUGGCACCACCUGCGAACCGAGGUGGGGUCAAACGUUUUUCUACUCCGGUCUGCGCCGCAGCGAUCUCAAUGGUCGCCAGCUUGAGGUCACGCUGUGGGAUUAUGUGCGCUAUGGGGCCAACGACUUUAUUGGCGAGGUGGUCAUUGACUUGGCUCAUCAUGUACUGGACGACGAAGCCGAGUGGUACCAGCUGCAACCGCAUCAGGAUAGCUCCCAUCUCUUACGUGACGAGGGCAGCGAUGUGGAGUGUCUGAUUCUGACACCGACAGAUCAUUUAUCACCGCCCAGCACGAUGUCGCGUCUAAGCGACUCGGACACGACGUCCGAGUGCGACAUCGAUGGAACGACGCCCGGUGCCAGCAUCUCAUCGAUGGGCAGCUCUGCCAGCCCGCCGCUGUUCGAGCUCGAUCUAAACGAGCGUCGAUCCAGACGUGACAUGUCGCCCCAGGGCCGCAAACGGGUGGCCGGGAUGAUGGCCAGAGAUUAUCGCACAGUAUCUGGCAUUGGACAAAGUUAUCACAAUCAGAGUUCUGCAACUACUGCGGGUUACUACCGACGAGGCGGUGCCAAUGGUGUCGGCUCCGCCAUCGGACCUGGUGGCAUGAGCCUGAGCCAGCGCAGCCACUCGGCAGCUCCCAGCGACAACUAUCACGGCCAUCAAGGACAUCCGGGCACAGGCUACGGCUACAGAAGCAGCAGUCCGCGGCGAGGAUCGCUAUCGCCGCCCGACGAUCGUUACAUUGACUAUCCAGUGCUUCCAAUUCACGGCUCACCCAACGCCGCGGCCUACGGCGGCGGAGGCAGCGGUGCUUCGGCGGCGGCACAGACACCACAGCAGCAGCGUUUCCAGUCUCGUUCUGCCACUGCCACGCCUACGGGAUCGCCCAAGAAGCGACAACUGCCACAGGUGCCACAAACCUCUCGCAGCGCCAUGUUGCGCGAUCGAUUGGGUCAGGACUUUGACGAGCGGCUGGCAUCGGGCAGCCGCUUUGGCCGCCAUCGCACACGGCAGCCGCACCAUCAGGCGACAUAUCGCAGCACCGGCAUGGGUGGCUGGGAGCGCCACUACACAGGACUUUCGGAUAGUGAUCUGCAGUCGAUGGACACGCGGAUGCGGCCAAGGCAUUCGCUGUCGCCGGACAAGGACUUCAUGGGCGAGUUUGGUGACUCGGACAUGGAGUCGGUGGUCAGUGUGACGUCGAGUGCGUUUUCCACUCAGUCGGAGCGUCCGCGCACCUCGCGCGGCCUCAGCUUUCCACGCAACUGGCGCAACCUCUUCGGCGCCCAAAGUAGCAUAUUGGGCGGUGCCGUUGGCGGCCCUGUGACCGGCCUUAAGGUCUAUCCCGUUGAGCACCACCGCGCGAACACCAUCGAGGUGGACGACUGCGACUAUCUCUCCAGUGGUGGCGGGGCUCAUCAGCUCCUGCUGCUGGAGCAGCUCGAGCAACUGCAGCAGCUAGCCGCCUUGGCUGCCGCCGACUCGCCGCCCAACACCGCCGCAUUGGGUGGGUUCAGCGGUGCCGCAUCUGCAGUCCCGCCACCACCCACAACUAUACCACUGCCAAUGACCGCACCACAGCAAGUACUCGUAACGGACACAAACAGCGGCGAACUGAUCGAGCAGUUCUUCGUGGAGCCGGCCCUGAUGGCGGAGGAGACGCCGCUUAACCUCGAGCCACACGAGCCCCAUUUGCUUACGCAUAGCGUUUACUAUUCACCUCAUUUGCCCAACACAUUCAUACAGCCGCCGCUUGACUUGUACCAACGACGCCACAACGGACGCCAGCUCGACCACGCCCCCACCAUCGCCACCGCCACCGCCACCGCCAACGCAACCACUCAUGCGAAUCACACCUAUGCGCUGCCCGGCUUUGAGCAAUUCAAGCGCUAUACCACGCCCGUCAUGAAUCUCUUUCGCAGCUCCACAACAGCACCGCCAGCGUCUGCCCAUGACCACGCCCACACGGUCUCCUCCUCGCCCAGCUCCUACGUGGGCUACGUACGCGAUCACCUGGACAAGAGCUGCAGCCACUGCCAGAACGGUAGCCAGCCGGUAGUGCUAUCCACAAACACAGCCCUGGCGACGCCCGGCCUGGCUAUUGGCGCCUGCACCGAUCCCUGUUGCCUGGCCGAUGCACAUCCCCAUCCGCAGCAUAAGCCCAUUGCAUAUCCCUAUAGCGCGGAGCAGCUGCUGCGUCGCCCCUCCCUCUCCAUGUAUCAGCCGGCAAGCACCUCAGAGCCCUCGCUGCCCACCAUGGACCCGGAUCCCAUGUGCGGCGAGUGCGUUGACCAGCAUUUCCUGGGCGGCCUGAUUGGGCCGCAGCUCAAUCUGGGCGUGGUGCCCACCUACCAUGUGCACACGCCAACAGCGACAGCUCAUCGGCGAGCGAACUCGCAGCUGGCACCGCCUCCACCACUGCCCACGCAAUCCGUGCUGCGACUCUCGCGACAGCUUAGCGAGGAUGCCCUAGUCUCGGCGGUGCCCAUAGCGGAGGCGACGGCACGGGCUCAACCCACAUCGAUUCUGAAGAAGCCCAAGCUGGACCGACGUCGCAUGUUUCACGAGGGCCAGUCGCGCUCCCUGGACUACGAUGAUUUGCAUACGAAGAGCUGGGGCAGGCGGCGCAUACGUUACGAGGACGAGGUGGCACCACAUGAGCUGAUGCCGCACGCCUAUCACCCCAGUGAGGAGCAGUUGCCCAGCAGUCGCCGAUACGGCUCCGAGACGAACAUACGGCAGUCGUAUAUGGGCGCCAAUGUGGAUGCCGCCAAUCCGCUGAGUCACUCGCAUUUCCUGGUCACCGAUGACAAGAUCGUGACCAUCACCUACGACUCGGAUGUGGGCUGGACCCGACGCGGCGUAGCGCCCUCCCUCUUCCGCGGUCCACACCGUCGCGGCGUCGACGCUCGCAAUCACAUGUCCCUCGACCUGCAGCGCACCAGCCAGCAGAAGCUCUACGGACCCGCUGCGCCCUACAUGAAGCGGCGUCGCAAUCUGCCACAUCCGCCUAGUGCGCAAAACGCACACAAUUUCUCGCCCAUGGAGGCGAUCGGUGGUGGUGUUGGUGGGGGCGGUGCACAGAACAGUGGUACAUACAACAGUAACAAUCACAACAGUAGCCACUACACCAAUCACAAUAGCCACGCAGCGAGUAGUGUUAGUAGUGUUAGUCAAUUUCACAACAACCAACAACAACAACAACAACAACCACAAUCAAUUAGGCAAAAAGGGAAAGAAGGCAUCAUCGCCGUAAACGGAUUGUUGGCAUCGGCAUCGGAACAAUUGACGAAAUCUAGUGGUGGGAGCGGUGGUGCAACAUCUGCCGCAGCUACCGCUGCCGCUACUGGUAAUAUCGUCUGCGAUGGUAAUAAUGCUAAUAAUGCUUCUUCUUCCUCUUUUGCAAAUCCCCCACAACAACAACAACAACAACAACAUCAUGGUGUCGCUAAUCAACCAAUAACAACAACAAACGCAUCACCCAAUAAACGUGCCCCAUCAUCAAUACACAAUACCACUACAACAACAACAACAACAACAACAAACGACGCCAACAACUUGACCCAUGACGCAACAUCAACCAAUCUCACACAACAACAACAACAACAACCACCAAAUACAUGCACAAAUCUCAUCACAAAUGCAACAACAAACACAUCGUCGAUUGAUGCGGCAACAACAACAACAACAACGACGACAACGAUAACAACCGCAACGACUGCUACAACAACUGCCACAAAUACAACUACAACAACAACAACAACAAAUACAAAUAACACGAAUGAACCAAACGCAACAACGACAACAACAAACGCCAAUACGAAUGCUAAUACGGAUGCGGAUGCGGACGCGGAUGCACCUAUCGAUGUUAUCGAUUGGGAUGCAAUCGAUGCGAUGCUCGACGACGAUUUCAGUGAGUACGACAAGGAGAAGAACGGUGCCAACGAGCCGAGUGGAGCCAAGUCAGUCGACGGUGGAGGCGGAACUGAGGAGAAAGCCGAUGGCAGCCUGUCAGACACCACAACGGAUCGAAAAAAAUGCGGCAACGUGGAUCAGGAACGAUCACCCAAAGGCGGCAGCGGGAUGGGUAAAAAAUCCAACUCGACGUCGCAACUGUCGGCAACAGGUCGUAAAAGACGUAUGGGCUUUGGAAAGAAGGGUAAGAACUCGUUCACGGUGCAUCGCAGUGAAGAGGUGCUGCCUGGUGAUAUCACGCGGGAGUUGCGCUCCGGCGGAGGUGCCGGCUGUGUCAGCGGUGGUGCUGGCGGUGCCGGUGGCGGUGGCCUAUCCCGUGGUUCGUCCUCGGAGGCGGACCCCAUUGAGCAGUUUUUCGGCGAUGGCGCUGGUGGGGAAAGAUUUUCACCAUCAUUACGCAAUGAUGGAGCCCUGAAUGAGUUCGUGGAUGGCCUCGGCCCGGGUCAAUUGGUUGGUCGUCAGGUGCUGGGCGCCCCCUCACUAGGUGACAUACAGCUGUCGCUGUGCCAUCAGAAGGGCUUUCUCGAGGUUGAGGUGAUACGAGCCAGGGGCUUGCAGCAAAAGCCGUCGUCGAAGAUGUUGCCCGCGCCCUAUGUGAAAGUUUAUCUGGUGUCGGGCAAGCGGUGCAUUGACAAGAUGAAAACCUCAACGGCUCGUCGCACGCUGGAUCCGCUCUAUCAGCAGCAAUUGGUAUUCAAGCAGUCGUACAGCGGUUGCGUAUUGCAGGUGACCGUUUGGGGCGACUACGGCCGGAUUGAAAAGAAAGUGUUUAUGGGUGUGGCGCAGAUAAUGCUCGACGAUCUGAAUCUCUCGAAUAUCGUUAUCGGCUGGUACAAGCUCUUCGGCACCACCUCACUGGGUCGUCCGAUUGUUUGGGCCGGUGAAUCAAUAAUGGAGGAGCAGGGUGAAUAACACUUUCCAGCUACAGUGAAAACACUUUAAAGCACCAAGCACAAACAAAUUUCCAAACUUGCAAACUGAACUGAAUUUAACCCUUGCAAAGAGCUGCCAGCCAGGCAGCCAAAUAGCAAAGGACCAAGGUCAGCCUGCAGGACCUGCUACGCUUUGUUGGGAGAGGAAAAGGAGGCGGAACACCCCGGAUGAGCGUCUGGAGCUGUCGCCCGAUACUCCCAUUCGGCAUGUUGCUGGCCUAAUCUAUGUCCAAUUUGUAUGUAAUUUUUGAUUUGUAUUUUUGAUUUCUUACUCUUAUUAUCGAUCGGAAGAUAUCCUUAGGAGUGUAAGGAUCUAGGUAAUUUUGUAAGUCAUGAAAACAAAUGCAUUUAAACCCAUACCCGAUAACACAAGCAGUGCAGUAAAUGAUUAAACUUAAUAACUAUGAAAUUCGAGAUAUAUAAUAUUUAAAUAUAAUGCGAUCUACACAAGAGAGAGACGAAUAUAAAAUAUUAAUAAAAAUAUGAAAUGAAAGAGAGUUUGUAAAUGAAUGACAGCGUAUUUGAAGACAUUUUUAUUACACACCUAAGAUCGCUAUUAUUUUCGUAAUACGAUUAUUCUGAUUAUUAUUAUGAAUAAUUAUUAUUAAUAAUAAAUAGAUAUACAAAGAACAAAAAGAAAACAUGCAAGAUACACACAACCAAGAAAAAGUGCUAAUGUCGGUAAUACACCUAAAGCUAAGUCAGUGAGAUAGAAAACAAAAAUAAUAAUAAAUUAAAAAUGAUGAGUAAAUAAAUUAAAAAGUAAAAUAAAAAGGAGUAGGAGGCGGAGAUGGAGAUUUAAGUGCAGAUGCAAGUUGUUUAAUAGAUAAAUCUAAAUCAAUAAAUUAAAGUUAUAGAUUUUCAAGAAAAUAUUUACGAGUAUAUACUAUAUACAAUAUAUGUAUACACAAAUAUAUACAUAUAGAUAUAUAUUUAAAGUUUAAGCAAGCAAAGAACCACUAACACUUAAAUAAGCCUAACUUACGAUAAAUUAAACUUAAAGUUAAUCAGAAAGUAACUAAAUGAGAUAUAUGAUAUAUGAGAUAUGUAUUAAUCCAAACCAAAUACUUAUUAAGCGUGACGAUUGAACAAAUUUAAUUUAGAAAAUGAAAACCAAACACACACACACACACCACUUACACGAAUACACAACAAAUGUUAA